AGUGGGCUGGACAACCGCGUGUUCACACGAGGAAAGUCCGGGCUCCUGCGAGCAGGAUGCCAGCUAACAGCUGGGCGGGGCAACCCGACGGAUCAGUGCCACAGAAAAGAAAACUCCCGGCGCCUGUGCGCCUGGAAAAGCUGAAACGGUGCGGUAAGAGCGCACCAGCGUACAGGUAACUGUGCGGCUUGGUAAACCCCAUCCGGAGCAAGCGCAAAUAGGGACGCCAUACGGCUGCUCGCCCGUGCGUUCGGGUUGCGUGCUCGAGGCGCCAGGUGACUGGCGUCCUAGAUAAAUGGUUGUCUUCAACGACAGAACCCGGCUUACAGGCCCACUCCA
Molecule: RNase P RNA, 339 nt
Filed under: bovine gut metagenome
Description: Bacterial RNase P class A
Rfam family: Bacterial RNase P class A
About the family: Ribonuclease P (RNase P) is a ubiquitous endoribonuclease, found in archaea, bacteria and eukarya as well as chloroplasts and mitochondria.
Source: RNAcentral